GCUUUUUUAUUGCACACUUUUUUGAAGGAUGUCCUAUGGGUAAUCUCUUAAAUUAGAAAAACAAUAUACUUUUUUACGUGCUAGAUUUAUAAGGCUAGGGUAGAUACCACACCUUCUGUGUUUACAGGCUUAACAUAUCAGUCAGAAAAGAUGUAUUUUGAGUGUCUCCUAUUUUAUUUUUGUUAAAACGUUUAUAGAAAAUGCUUAUUUUAUAGUUGGUUGUUAUUGAGACUAUAUUUCUUCAAGGAUUCCCUAUACUUUAGGAAUUUUUUUG
Molecule: long non-coding RNA, 274 nt
Filed under: Bos taurus (domestic cattle)
Lineage: Eukaryota; Metazoa; Chordata; Mammalia; Artiodactyla; Bovidae
Description: long non-coding RNA NONBTAT025880
Source: RNAcentral